GUAGGUGGCAAGCGUUGUCCGGAAUUAUUGGGCGUAAAGCGCGCGCAGGCGGUUCUUUAAGUCUGAUGUGAAAGCCCACGGCUCAACCGUGGAGGGUCAUUGGAAACUGGAGAACUUGAGUACAGAAGAGGAAAGCGGAAUUCCACGUGUAGCGGUGGAAUGCGUAGAGAUGUGGAGGAACACCAGUGGCGAAGGCGGCUUUCUGGUCUGUAACUGACGCUGAGGCGCGAAAGCGUGGGGAGCAAACAGGGAUUAGAUACCCUGGUAGUCCACGCCGUAAACGAUGAGUGCUAAGUGUUAGGGGGUUUCCGCCCCCUUAGUGCUGCAGCUAACGCAUUAAGCACUCCGCCUGGGGAGUACGGCCGCAAGGCUG
This 373-nucleotide ribosomal RNA is filed under the name uncultured organism. Its description in RNAcentral is "partial 16S ribosomal RNA". It matches the Rfam family "Bacterial small subunit ribosomal RNA", at positions 527 to 896 of the family's 1533-position model. The record is from RNAcentral.